RNAcentral lists this ribosomal RNA (484 nucleotides) under uncultured bacterium. Its description in RNAcentral is "partial 16S ribosomal RNA". It matches the Rfam family "Bacterial small subunit ribosomal RNA", at positions 30 to 507 of the family's 1533-position model. The record is from RNAcentral.
AUUGAACGCUGGCGGCAGGCCUAACACAUGCAAGUCGAGCGGAUGAAGGGAGCUUGCUCCUGGAUUCAGCGGCGGACGGGUGAGUAAUGCCUAGGAAUCUGCCUGGUAGUGGGGGAUAACGUCCGGAAACGGGCGCUAAUACCGCAUACGUCCUGAGGGGGAAGGUGGGGGAUCUUCGAACCUCCCGCUAUCAGAUGAGCCUAGGUCGGAUUAGCUAGUUGGUGGGGUAAAGGCCUACCAAGGCGACGAUCCGUAACUGGUCUGAGAGGAUGAUCAGUCACACUGGAACUGAGACACGGUCCAGACUCCUACGGGAGGCAGCAGUGGGGAAUAUUGGACAAUGGGCGAAAGCCUGAUCCAGCCAUGCCGCGUGUGUGAAGAAGGUCUUCGGAUUGUAAAGCACUUUAAGUUGGGAGGAAGGGCAGUAAGUUAAUACCUUGCUGUUUUGACGUUACCAACAGAAUAAGCACCGGCUAACUUCGUG